UGGGGAAUAUUGGGCAAUGGGCGCAAGCCUGACCCAGCAACGCCGCGUGAGGGAAGAAGGUUUUCGGAUCGUAAACCUCUGUUGUAGGGGACGAGGAAAAGACGGUACCCUACGAGGAAGCUCCGGCUAACUACGUGCCAGCAGCCGCGGUAAUACGUAGGGGGCGAGCGUUGUCCGGAAUGACUGGGCGUAAAGGGCGUGUAGGCGGCUGAUUAAGUCUGGAGUGAAAGUCCUGCUUUCAAGGUGGGAAUUGCUUUGGAGACUGGUCGGCUUGAGUGCGGAAGAGGUAAGUGGAAUUCCCAGUGUAGCGGUGAAAUGCGUAGAGAUUGGGAGGAACACCAGUGGCGAAGGCGACUUACUGGGCCGUAACUGACGCUGAGGCGCGAAAGCGUGGGGAGCGAACAGGAUUAGAUACCCUGGUAGU
Molecule: ribosomal RNA, 424 nt
Filed under: uncultured bacterium
Lineage: Bacteria
Description: bacterial SSU rRNA
Rfam family: Bacterial small subunit ribosomal RNA
Source: RNAcentral